Molecule: ribosomal RNA, 253 nt
Filed under: uncultured bacterium
Lineage: Bacteria
Description: partial 16S ribosomal RNA
Rfam family: Archaeal small subunit ribosomal RNA
Source: RNAcentral
UACCGGCACCCCGAGUGGUCGGGACGUUUAUUGGGCCUAAAGCAUCCGUAGCCGGUUCUACAAGUCUUCCGUUAAAUCCACCUGCUCAACAGAUGGGCUGCGGAAGAUACUAUGGAGCUAGGAGGCGGGAGAGGCAAGCGGUACUCGAUGGGUAGGGGUAAAAUCCGUUGAUCCAUUGAAGACCACCAGUGGCGAAGGCGGCUUGCCAGAACGCGCUCGACGGUGAGGGAUGAAAGCUGGGGGAGCAAACCGG